GCGCUCGCGCGCCGUACCGGCCUUUGGCCUGGCGCUCCGCGAGGGCGCGGCACGAGCCGCGACGGCCGGUUGGCCUUGCGAGACGUGCGUCUCGUUGGCGAAAGCCGAUUUGCGGCGCAGUCUAAGGGCUUGUAGCUCAGUUGGUUAGAGCGCGCGCUUGAUAAGCGUGAGGUCGGAGGUUCAAGUCCUCCCAGGCCCACCACUUCGCAAUCCACAAGGAUUGUCGGAUCUCCUCGAUACUCAUCGGGAAACACUAUCAGGGGCCGUAGCUCAGCUGGGAGAGCGCCUGCUUUGCAAGCAGGAUGUCGUCGGUUCGAUCCCGUCCGGCUCCACCACUUUCUUGUCUUUGGGACCAAGAAGGGGUGUCGAGUGGAGGUGAGGGAAAAAGUCAUUCGUAAAAAGAGUUUGCGGCGAGCACUUGGCUCUCCGCCUGUUCUGUUUGACAUCGUAAAGAGAAGAUUUGUUCGAACUUCAUGAGCCGCAAGGGUCAUGAUUUGUCGCAAGGGACGCUCAAUCCCUUGCAUAUGAUGGGCUUGCCUAACCGCACCCUCGAACCGAUCUCGAGAAGCUGGUCUUUUUGUGCCAAU
RNAcentral lists this transfer RNA (587 nucleotides) under Mesorhizobium australicum. Its description in RNAcentral is "partial 16S-23S ribosomal RNA intergenic spacer". The stretch from base 126 to 199 matches the Rfam family "tRNA". The record is from RNAcentral. Lineage: Bacteria; Pseudomonadati; Pseudomonadota; Alphaproteobacteria; Hyphomicrobiales; Phyllobacteriaceae.